CUGCUUGGGGACCCAGCAAGCUUCCAGGGCCUUUCUGCUGCUUUCUCUACCCCUGUAUUUCACUCGGCUCUCUAAAUUGACUCAGCUCUGGGACAGCCAGUAGAGGUGACUUCAUGUUUUCUGCGGAUCGUUUGGUUUUGCCUGAGGAUUUAUUCCAAAGAGCAUAGACAACUCCUGUUCUGCUUUUCAUCAUCAGACUUGUUGUGGAAGAGGGAUUGAAUCAGCUGCCAUAUAAAGAAUGCAUGGUGACCACUCCAACAGGGUACAAGUAUGAAGGAGUGAAAUUUGAGAAGGGAAAUUGUGGGGUCAGCAUAAUGAGAAGCGGUGAGGCAAUGGAACAAGGUUUACGAGACUGCUGUCGAUCCAUACGAAUUGGAAAGAUCCUGAUUCAGAGUGAUGAGGAGACACAAAGAGCCAAAGUAUAUUAUGCCAAAUUCCCCCCAGACAUUUACCGGAGAAAAGUCCUUCUGAUGUAUCCAAUUCUCAGCACUGGAAAUACUGUAAUUGAAGCUGUAAAGGUUCUUAUAGAACAUGGAGUUCAACCCAGUGUUAUCAUCCUACUCAGUCUGUUCUCCACUCCUCAUGGUGCCAAAUCAAUCAUUCAGGAGUUUCCAGAGAUCACAAUUUUAACUACUGAAGUUCAUCCUGUUGCACCUACACAUUUUGGACAGAAAUACUUUGGAACAGACUAAGUUAUUUAAGUAAAAUAAUUAUCUUGUGUAAUAUUAC
Molecule: small RNA, 729 nt
Filed under: Pan troglodytes (chimpanzee)
Lineage: Eukaryota; Metazoa; Chordata; Mammalia; Primates; Hominidae
Description: processed transcript
Source: RNAcentral